This 543-nucleotide unclassified non-coding RNA is filed under the name Hevea brasiliensis (rubber tree). The record is from RNAcentral. Lineage: Eukaryota; Viridiplantae; Streptophyta; Magnoliopsida; Malpighiales; Euphorbiaceae.
GUGAACUUUCCCGUCUCUUCAAUCCCUCCGGCGAACUCAUCGGCGAUCUCUGUCUUUAUCCGGCGAAGUCAGUCAUGAAGGUUAGGGCAUCAGUGAAGAAGAUGUGCGAGUUCUGUCGCACAAUCAAGCGGCGCGGGCGGGUAUAUGUGCUAUGUACAUCUAAUCCCAAGCACAAACAAAGACAAGGCUAUUCAACCUUUGCCUCUGAAGGCCUCAUAUCAACUACGCCUGUGAUGACGAGGGUUAAGCAGGAUACUUCAGUUACCGAAGGUAUUCACUCUCUCGUUCCUGGUAAGAUCGAGGCAACUGUGACACCUUGGUGGAAAAGGGGGAUAGCUUCCAUUCUCUUCAAGGACGGACAGUAAGCAAGUAGAAGUUUUGUUGCAAAGAGUGUUACACUGUAGGCACGCACUCCGAAACAUUAUUGCUUUCUUGAACUUUGGUCAGCUUUCUUGCUGCUGUUAUUUCUCUUGCCCCUUCAUACCCUUGAACACAUUGUCAUGUGUGCUAUGGUUACAAUUGCAAUGAGCUAUAAGUAUGUUA